CCCCCUGCUGGUCACUACACAGAAGUAGAGUCAUUUCCUCAUGGACGUCUAUGGGAGCAGAGGAGUCGCCCCCUGCUGGUCACCUGCUAGUAGUAUGGAUGUAUGGCCACGUGAGAAUUCGCCGAUGGAGCCUGUUGGGCUCCGCGUCCUCCCUCCAUCGCUAACUAUGGUAACAAACACAGUACUUUAACCCCAACGACGCUUGUCCGCUAAACCAACAAAGUACGUUUGUUGCUGGUGGCUCACGACUACGAGGAUUACGCACUAAUCCUUGUGUGGGAAUUACAGACUCUCGUUUCUAUUCGUUCUGGAUAAGAACCUUCUGGAAUGAGCAGAGUACAAGUCGGAUUGUCCAGGACUGACCACACGGGAUGAGCUCUACCACGGCUCCUUGUCCUCCUCCUCAGGAGCCUCGGGCUCAGCAGGAGAGCAAAUAGCAGCGAGACCUUCUCUUCUCCCUGGUGCCACUGCUCUGUUUCCCUUGUCUUCAGACUUUCAGGAAUCAGGAAACAUUUAUUGGCAAAAUAUGUUAAACAUACAAGGAAUUUGACUUUGCGGUUGGUGCGUGACAGUAGACAGUGUGACAAUAGACAACAAGACAGCAGCGCACAAGUAAUAAAAUAAAAUGAAUGAGUCGAGUAGGAAUCCAUCAGGAUUAAGGGACAUUUAAAAUCCCUCACUCUUUACCCCCUGCAGUGAGUCAACGCCGUCACGCUGUAACGUGUGUGUGUGUGUGUGGACCACCGAGCUCUACCGCAGCUCCGAGUGAUGAAAUACAUCUUUACCCUUUAUAUGAAUCAUCUCAAAUGCCUUUAGAUUUAAAAAAUAUUCAUUUUUAUUUUGUAAUCGUGUUUUAAUUGUCUUUGAACCAAUUGGAUGUCAGUGAUUAUGUUGCUGUCAAGGUGCCUCUCUUUACUUAACGGCAUGUUCCCGGACUUGAUGGUGAUUGGUACCUGAAUGCACCAUUAAGCAGGAGCAUCUGAAGGAGUGGUGCCUUCAGGUGCUCCUCGUGUAAUCGGGGAAGUCCUCCGCUUUAUUUUUGAAUCACGGAACCUUUUUCUUAAGGGGGAAAAAGAAGAAAUAACCGUGAAACCAGUAGAUUGUUAUUAUUAUUCAUUUAUUUGUAUUAUUAAUAAUAAUAAUAAUAAUAAUAAUAAUAAUAACAGCACCAGCUUGUUCUGCGGUGAAUUCUGGACCUGUAAAGACCCACCUGACCCCCGCGGCUCCAGACCUCCUCCCCUCGUGUGUGUGUGUGUGUGUCUGUGUGUGUUGUACAGCAGCUGUACCAUUAUUACACCUCUGGGGGGGGGGGGGCGUGAUUAUCAAUCUGCAGAAAGGGAGCGUGGGCCGGGCGAGGGGUCCGCAGUGUGAAGCCGUUGACAGGUCAAUUAUUCCACCGGCUGAACUACAGCGUGUAAUAUGUGAGCCCCCCAGGGUUAAAACACGCCACCUCCUAUGUACACAACCCCCCCUCGAGGUUCACCCCCGGAAACAGCCGUGUCACGCUGCUGCACAUGAUGAGGGCUGCGGGCAGAGGGUCAAAGGUCGGGGCAGGGGGGGGGGGCUCAGGGGUGAAUGAAGUUUCAUUAUUUUAUAACAACUUACACUCAAGAUUUAUUCCUGAUGAAGAGGAGCAGAGGCUGAUGAAGAGGAGCUGAGGCUGAUGAAGAGGAGCAGAGGCUGAUGAAGAGGAGCAGAGGCUGAUGAAGAGGAGCUGGGGCUGAUGAAGAGGAGCUGGGGCUGAUGAAGAGGAGCAGAGGCUGAUGAAGAGGAGCUGGGGCUGAUGAAGAGGAGCAGAGGCUGAUGAAGAGGAGCAGAGGCUGAUGAAGAUAAGCGGAGGCUGAUGAAGAGGAGCGGAGGCUGAUGAAGAGGAGCUGGGACUCUCAUAGGUCAGGAUUUUAGCUUCAGCUGGUGCAGAUCUCCUUG
Gasterosteus aculeatus aculeatus (three-spined stickleback) is the source of this 1926-nucleotide long non-coding RNA. The record is from Ensembl. Lineage: Eukaryota; Metazoa; Chordata; Actinopteri; Perciformes; Gasterosteidae.